GAAUUCUAUAAGGUGGGUGUAUGGAUCUUCAUCUACUUGCCCAGAGAAGGGUUGCUCCUGAAUCAUGGCUAUUAGAUCAGGGCCGAGGUCGUAGCCAUCUGUAAGAAUUGGAUGUGAUGAUGGUGGUGGCUCUAAUAACUCGCCCUUUGGAGCAAAGAAUUUAUAGAUAGGAGUGAAAUCCAUGUGGUAUGGUGAAAAUGGUAAGGUGAGUGUGGUAAAAAAAGAAAAGAAAAAGGAUACACGGAUGACUU
This 251-nucleotide long non-coding RNA is filed under the name Sorghum bicolor (sorghum). Its description in RNAcentral is "long non-coding RNA (SBIC_LNC017417)". Lineage: Eukaryota; Viridiplantae; Streptophyta; Magnoliopsida; Poales; Poaceae. The record is from RNAcentral.